This 324-nucleotide unclassified non-coding RNA is filed under the name soil metagenome. RNAcentral describes it as "partial contains 5.8S ribosomal RNA, internal transcribed spacer 2, and large subunit ribosomal RNA". The stretch from base 1 to 120 matches the Rfam family "5.8S ribosomal RNA", at positions 35 to 154 of the family's 154-position model. The record is from RNAcentral.
GAUGAAGAACGCAGCGAAAUGCGAUAAGUAAUGCGAAUUGCAGAAUUCAGUGAGUCAUCGAAUCUUUGAACGCACAUUGCGCCCUGUGGUAUUCCGCAGGGCAUGCCUGUUCGAGCGUCAUUUCAACCCUCAAGCCUCGCUUGGUGUUGGGCCCUGCCCGCCGCGGCCGGCCCUAAAGAUAGUGGCGGCGCCGCCUGGCCCUCAGCGUAGUACAGCUCUCGCUCCAGGGUCCAGCGGCAGCCUGCCAGAACCCCCCAACUCUGUGGUUGACCUCGGAUCAGGUAGGGAUACCCGCUGAACUUAAGCAUAUCAAUAAGCGGAGGA